UUGAAACAUUCUCUACUGAAC
This 21-nucleotide microRNA is filed under the name Rattus norvegicus (Norway rat). RNAcentral describes it as "rno-miR-653-5p". Its record names the gene rno-miR-653-5p. Lineage: Eukaryota; Metazoa; Chordata; Mammalia; Rodentia; Muridae. The record is from miRBase by way of RNAcentral.